This 25-nucleotide non-coding RNA is filed under the name Cricetulus griseus (Chinese hamster). The record is from RNAcentral. Lineage: Eukaryota; Metazoa; Chordata; Mammalia; Rodentia; Cricetidae.
UCUGACUACAACAAGAUCCAUCCAG